This 253-nucleotide ribosomal RNA is filed under the name uncultured bacterium. RNAcentral's name for it is "partial 16S ribosomal RNA". It matches the Rfam family "Bacterial small subunit ribosomal RNA", at positions 524 to 776 of the family's 1533-position model. The record is from RNAcentral.
UACAGGGGGGGCAAGCGUUGUUCGGAAUUACUGGGCGUAAAGGGUUCGUAGGUGGCCAACUAAGUCAGACGUGAAAUCCCUCAGCUUAACUGGGGAACUGCGUCUGAAACUGGUUGGCUUGAGUGAAGGAGAGGAAUGCGGAAUUCCAGGUGUAGCGGUGAAAUGCGUAGAUAUCUGGAGGAACACCGGUGGCGAAGGCGGCAUUCUGGACUGUAACUGACACUGAGGAACGAAAGCCAGGGGAGCAAACGGG